This 16-nucleotide microRNA is filed under the name Xenopus laevis (African clawed frog). RNAcentral's name for it is "xla-miR-5179". The record is from RNAcentral. Lineage: Eukaryota; Metazoa; Chordata; Amphibia; Anura; Pipidae.
GACAGCAGGACGGUGG